Molecule: ribosomal RNA, 721 nt
Filed under: Funneliformis mosseae
Lineage: Eukaryota; Fungi; Glomeromycota; Glomeromycetes; Glomerales; Glomeraceae
Description: SSU rRNA
Rfam family: Eukaryotic small subunit ribosomal RNA
Source: RNAcentral
UUAGGGCACGACACCGGAGAGGGAGCCUGAGAAACGGCUACCACAUCCAAGGAAGGCAGCAGGCGCGCAAAUUACCCAAUCCCGACACGGGGAGGUAGUGACAAUAAAUAACAAUACAGGGUUCUUUUGGAUCUUGUAAUUGGAAUGAGUACAAUUUAAAUCUCUUAACGAGGAACAAUUGGAGGGCAAGUCUGGUGCCAGCAGCCGCGGUAAUUCCAGCUCCAAUAGCGUAUAUUAAAGUUGUUGCAGUUAAAAAGCUCGUAGUUGAAUUUCGGGAUCAAUAUUUCGGUCAUGCCGUUGGUAUGCACUGUUAUCAUUGAUUUCUCACCUUCUAAAGAACCGUAAUGCCAUUAAUUUGGUGUUACGGGGAAUUAGGACUGUUACCUUGAAAAAAUUAGAGUGUUUAAAGCAGGCUCACGCUUGAAUACAUUAGCAUGGAAUAAUGAAAUAGGACAUCCGAUUCUAUUUUGUUGGUUUCUAGGAUCGAUGUAAUGAUUAAUAGGGAUAGUUGGGGGCAUUAGUAUUCAAUUGUCAGAGGUGAAAUUCUUGGAUUUAUUGAAGACUAACUACUGCGAAAGCAUUUGCCAAGGAUGUUUUCAUUAAUCAAGAACGAAAGUUAGGGGAUCGAAGACGAUCAGAUACCGUCGUAGUCUUAACCAUAAACUAUGCCGACUAGGGAUCGGAUGAUGUUAAUUUUUUAAUGACUCAUUCGNGCCUUACG